UACGGGGGGGGCAAGCGUUGUUCGGAAUUACUGGGCGUAAAGGGCUCGUAGGCGGCCAACUAAGUCAGACGUGAAAUCCCCAGGCUCAACCUGGGGACUGCGUCUGAUACUGGAUGGCUUGAAUCCGGGAGAGGGAUGCAGAAUUCCAGGUGUAGCGGUGAAAUGCGUAGAUAUCUGGAGGAAUACCGGUGGCGAAGGCGGCAUCCUGGACCGGCAUUGACGCUGAGGAGCGAAAGCCAGGGGAGCAAACGGG
This 253-nucleotide ribosomal RNA is filed under the name uncultured bacterium. RNAcentral describes it as "partial 16S ribosomal RNA". It matches the Rfam family "Bacterial small subunit ribosomal RNA", at positions 524 to 776 of the family's 1533-position model. The record is from RNAcentral.